Long non-coding RNA from Anguilla rostrata (American eel), 1671 nucleotides. RefSeq lists it as uncharacterized. The record is from RefSeq and is a predicted model, not a curated record. Lineage: Eukaryota; Metazoa; Chordata; Actinopteri; Anguilliformes; Anguillidae. The transcript is spliced from 6 exons.
CUCUCAACUGCAAAAAAAGUUAAUGUAAAGGCUGCACGCGCUGUGACAGAAACGAAAGCCGAUUGCAGGCAUGGCACGUUCCUUAUUUGUCACCGUCGUGUGUUCAUGUUUGAGAGGAACAAGAGGCAAGUCAUUAAGAACUAAUUCUUACUUACAAUGGCGGCCUGGCAAGCGACAAAAGCCACUUAAGGGAAGGGGAGGUGGGUUAAAAUGAGGUUUUCCGCCAUUAGGCUAAGCAACUGUGGGAAAAGUAAGGCUGGAUCCAGGAAGAAGGUUGGAACAAUGGCGACAAACAAUUGAUUGAUGUCUCACGACAAAAACGUGGAAACAGCACAGCAACGGAAGCAAUGAAACUGGCUCACCGAGGCUCAUCGAGGGAUCCUGAGCCCUGGCCCUGCAGGAUCUCCCUCGCCUGGUUUUUGUUUCCACAUUAGCAUGAGGAACCAUGUCAGAAACCGGGUCCUGGUGAGAUAAAGACCCGGAACAAUUGCCCUGUCUGCAGAGUUUGCCAUUAAGCAUUUGCAUCAGAGUUUUAAACAUCCACGGUGUCGCACGCAAACGAAUCCCGCGCUGUAAACCGCGACACCUCGACUCAAUAAAAGACGGAGACGGCGACCUCUUCCCCCGCGGAAAACAAAUGACCAAACUGGCGGAGGCGGCAGUCUCCCAAGUGGACCAGCGCCAAGGACAUGUGACGCAUAAAUGGAGAACACUUUCAGCACAGAAUUUCUAUUUUGUAAUACAAUAACUGGUACCUAUUUCUUAGUUAUGAUCUCAGUUACCUGUCAUUUGGCACCUGGCAACUUUCAGAUAGUUUUUAAAUGUAUUUUAUAUGGAGCCUGGCAAACUCUGUUAGGCAUACUGUAUUCGAUAGACAAAGUUCUUACAGUCCCAAUUACACCAGUUUUAUUAGCAAUUUUAAAUGAUUCCUGAUUAUCUAUAAACUAAAUGUGCACAGGUUAUUUGAUUGAAAAAUGUCUCUACAUAUUUUAAAUAAUUUACUUACCAUCCCCUCUCUCUCCCCUCAUAAUGAACAGGCCUUUUCAGUCACAUAUAUUAAUAUUCAUGAGCUCACUACUCGAUUGGCCAAGUGCUCACCUACUUGAUUGCCAGUUAAUGACAGACCAACCCAUGCAGGCAUACCUCCAUCUUCCUUUCUGCAAUGCUGACUAAAUCAUUGCAAACAAUGUCACAGUAGGGUUUGCAUGUAUUAUAACCCUAAGGAAACAGAAUAUUUUAUUACCAUGCUUAAUUAGUAAGUCAGCACGCAGGCUUGAAAUCACACUGGCUAAAUCCUAGCCUAGUUCUAUCCAGUUUGUGCUGUGAAAACAAGCUAGAUAUUUGUGUGACAACCAAGUAUGCCCAAAUACUCUAAGCUGUACAGCACAGACAGGCACUCUGGCUAGAGAAAUGCCAGUCAUUAGUGUACUUAAUUUGGUAGGGAACCGCUUGCUGUGUUGACUAACUUUAGUCCACUGCACUGUUAUUAGCAUCAGUCAUUGUUAUUAGCUAGCUAGCGUUAGCUAUGGCAAACUAUUUGCAAUCAAAAUUUGUUUAUAGUUCCUCUGUCAAGCUAGUUGCAACAAUGUUAUUGUGACAUAAAGCCAAGAUCUCUCUUACUGCAAUGUUCUGCUGCCUGUGGCAAAAAAAAACCAUAAAGAGUUUGCCUUA